UACGUAGGGUGCAAGCGUUAAUCGGAAUUACUGGGCGUAAAGCGUGCGCAGGCGGUUGUGUAAGUCAGAUGUGAAAUCCCCGGGCUCAACCUGGGAAUGGCAUUUGAGACUGCACAGCUAGAGUGUGUCAGAGGGGGGUAGAAUUCCACGUGUAGCAGUGAAAUGCGUAGAGAUGUGGAGGAAUACCGAUGGCGAAGGCAGCCCCCUGGGAUAACACUGACGCUCAUGCACGAAAGCGUGGGGAACAAACAGG
RNAcentral lists this ribosomal RNA (253 nucleotides) under uncultured bacterium. RNAcentral's name for it is "partial 16S ribosomal RNA". It matches the Rfam family "Bacterial small subunit ribosomal RNA", at positions 524 to 776 of the family's 1533-position model. The record is from RNAcentral.